GAUGAACGCUGGCGGCGUGCCUAAUACAUGCAAGUCGAGCGAACGGACGAGAAGCUUGCUUCUCUGAUGUUAGCGGCGGACGGGUGAGUAACACGUGGAUAACCUACCUAUAAGACUGGGAUAACUUCGGGAAACCGGAGCUAAUACCGGAUGAUAUUUUGAACCGCAUGGUUCAAAAGUGAAAGACGGUCUUGCUGUCACUUAUAGAUGGAUCCGCGCUGCAUUAGCUAGUUGGUAAGGUAACGGCUUACCAAGGCAACGAUGCAUAGCCGACCUGAGAGGGUGAUCGGCCACACUGGAACUGAGACACGGUCCAGACUCCUACGGGAGGCAGCAGUAGGGAAUCUUCCGCGAUGGGCGAAAGCCUGACGGAGCAACGCCGCGUGAGUGAUGAAGGUCUUAGGAUCGUAAAACUCUGUUAUUAGGGAAGAACAUAUGUGUAAGUAACUGUGCACAUCUUGACGGUACCUAAUCAGAAAGCCACGGCUAACUACGUG
RNAcentral lists this ribosomal RNA (497 nucleotides) under uncultured bacterium. Its description in RNAcentral is "partial 16S ribosomal RNA". It matches the Rfam family "Bacterial small subunit ribosomal RNA", at positions 28 to 507 of the family's 1533-position model. The record is from RNAcentral.